CCACAUCGUAUUUGGUUGGACCGGCUUGUUGCGGGGAGGGCGGGGGAAGAUUGUUUGCAGUGGAGAAGCUCGGCGCACGGGAAGGUAAACUGAGCUCCCCAGAGACGCAUCCCGCAGCCUCUGCUCAGGCCCAGCCGUCUCUCUCCAGUUGCCACCACAGCCUGGAGGCGCCUGCCUCCGCCCUCCCGAAUGGUGCUCCUUCUCACAGGCCUCGGCCCAGGAUCCAGGCCCCCUUUGCCCCCUGCCUCGGAGCUGUUGCUCCGGGUCUUUCCUAGUGGACUCCUUGGGACGGGGAGGGAAGAACUUUUGCACAUACAAGGCUGUAGCUCUAGGGACCCCACCGACAACUUGAAUCUUGGUCUCUAACCGAGUGUGAAAUCCCUCCUGUGCCCUCUCUAUCUGCCCUUUGAGAAGAGAAACCCUUCUGUCCACCCAGAACCCAGUAAGCCCCAAGCUGGGGCCCUGGUCCCAGCAUGUCAAUCCUCUCUUAUGCAUAGGGCUCUGCCCUCUCCCUGUCAGCAUGGCUGAACUCAGGCAGGUUCCAGGGGGGCGGGAGACCCCACAGGGGGAGCUUCGGCCGGAAGUUGUAGAGGAUGAAGUCCCUCGGAGCCCUGUCGCAGAGGAGCCCGGAGGAGGCGGAAGCAACAGCAGUGAAGCCAAAUUGUCCCCAAGAGAAGAAGAAGAGCUGGAUCCUAGAAUACAGGAGGAGCUGGAGCAUCUGAACCAGGCCAGCGAGGAGAUCAACCAGGUGGAGCUGCAGCUGGAUGAGGCCAGGACCACCUACCGGAGGAUCCUUCAGGAGUCAGCGAGGAAGCUCAACACACAGGGCUCCCACCUGGGGAGCUGCAUCGAGAAGGCCCGGCCCUACUACGAGGCUCGGCGGCUGGCUAAGGAGGCCCAGCAGGAGACACAGAAGGCAGCGCUGCGGUACGAGCGGGCCGUGAGCAUGCACAACGCUGCCCGGGAGAUGGUGUUUGUGGCCGAGCAGGGCGUCAUGGCUGACAAGAACCGGCUGGACCCCACGUGGCAGGAGAUGCUCAACCACGCCACCUGCAAGGUGAACGAAGCAGAGGAGGAGCGGCUUCGUGGCGAGCGGGAGCACCAGCGGGUGACGCGGCUGUGCCAGCAGGCCGAGGCCCGGGUUCAGGCCCUGCAGAAGACCCUCCGGCGCGCCAUUGGCAAGAGCCGCCCCUACUUUGAGCUCAAGGCCCAGUUCAGCCAGAUCCUGGAGGAGCACAAGGCCAAGGUGACAGAGCUGGAGCAGCAGGUGGCCCAGGCUAAGACCCGCUACUCUGUCGCCCUGCGCAACCUGGAGCAGAUCAGCGAGCAGAUUCAUGCGCGGCGCCGGGGCCAGCCCGCGCAUCCCGCGGGCCAGCGGCGCUCCUCCCCCGUCGGGGCCGAGGCCGGGCCCGAUGCUGGCGAGGAUGGGGACAGCGGGAUCAUCGAGGGGGCCGAGGGCGGGGGUUUGGAGGAGGGCGUCAGCCUGGGGCCUGGGCCUGCGCGCGACACGGACACUCUGAGCCUACUGAGCCUGCGCACGGUGGCCUCGGACCUGCAGAAGUGCGACUCGGUGGAGCACCUGCGGGGCCUCUCCGACCACACCAGUCUGGACGGCCAGGAGCUGGGUCCCCGGGGUGGGGGUCGCCGGGGCAGUGACGGCGCAGGCCGCGGGGGCCGUCACCAGCGCAGUGUCAGCCUGUAGCCCCCAACCCCGCUCAGGGUGGCUGGUGCGACUCUUAACCACCAUGGCCCAGGAAGGGCCCUCAGGCUCUCAGCUCCCCCUCCUCGGGGCCUUGCUUUCCUCAGAGGGGUCGGUGUGGCUGUGUCUGAGUCUGCUCUUCGUGUCUGGCUUUCCCGCGGGUGGCCCCUCUCUUUGCCUUACCCCCUCGGAAGGCUUGUCUUUGGCUCUCCCCUCCUGCUGGCUCCUCACCGUCUGUCUGACCCCCUUUGCUGUCCCCUUCUGACUUCUUCCAUCUGUCUGGAUUUUCCCCCCUCAGGGAAAUUUAUCUAGAAGGCACAGGGAAGCCAUCAGAGAAAGUGGGUGCUGGACCUGAGUCCCCGCAUCUUGGUUCCCCAGCUUUCAGUGAACGGACAGGCGCCCCUUCCACCUCCCCAUCUCCCAGGUGGGCCCUACGGAUGCUGCAGAGCUCUCCUGGCAGCCCGCUGUCCCGCUCCUCUGUCCCAGCCUGCCUGUGUGUAACAUGUAAGAUGUGCUGUGGGACUCUGUGCCUCUGGGAGACACCACUGGUCCCUUCAGCGCUCCCUCCUCAUGACCUAAGCUGCUUUGCUGUGUGUGCCUCAAAGCAGGACUUGAGGGGUACUGGGGUCAGGGAAGGUGAAACCAACCCCAUUGUCAACAUAGGGGACUCCCGUGUGCAUCGCGUUUCUAGGCUGGGCCCUUAACAUUGCCAAGGUGCUAGCGGGUCCGUGUUGCGGGGUGGGGACGUAGUGAAGUCCCGAUGGCUGAAACCCUUGCCAGUCCUGCUGCGGAGUUAGGUUUAAUUUACUUUUUCUGGGUAGAGGAUGCAGAGCCAAGUCUCAGCACCCUCCUACAGGGUUGGAGUUAGGGAAUUUGGUGCUCAGUUGCUCUCCAUUGCUCUUCCCCAAACCAAACAAUACCUAGUCCAGGAUCCCUUAAGGGGGAACGCUCAGGUUUGGCUGUAGAUCCUCUGCUGAUAUGGGGAGGGGCUGGCCUGGGGUGAGGGGACUCGCCCUCCGUGGGGAGCAGCUCCAGGUGUCUGGCGGGGCUCCCACGCUGUGUAUGGGGAAAGGUAGGGGAGCUACACUGGAUCUGGGUGCCUUUGGAGGACUGAUCCUCCUGUCCCACCCCGGGAGGGCUGAGAGCUGGACUCUGGGCAGGAGACCUUGUGCCUAGGCCUAUGAGCUGCUGCCACUGACCAGGGGAGGAGUGGGCCUUCGCGUGGAAGGUGUCCCCCUGUCCCAGGGUCGAGGUAGGAUGGUCAUGAUGAGAACCGCCAGGUUUGAGGUGGCCAUGGGUGGAGGGAAGAGUGGGAGGAUGUGGGCGUGCGUGCGUGCAUGCAUGUGCCUGUGUGUAUGGGGGAAAAGGUCUGCCCCGAUUUUAUUUAAAUAAAAUAGUUUAUGUAACAGUAAUGUUCAUUGCCCCUGUUGGGAGGGAGAGGGAGAACGGCGAGGAUGGAGAGCAGGGAGGAGCAGGGUGAAAUGUGCUCUUCUGAUGGGGGAAGUCAGGGAGGUGAAGGAUGAGAUGGACCAAACCCAGGGAGGGAAGGCUUAUGGCCAUGGUGCUGGGGUGAGCACACACCAGGUCACCGGUGCCCUGCAGAUCCCCUCCCCACCGGCCUGCUAGCCAGGAAGGCUCUGCAGGGUGGAGAGAAUGUCAGCCACUGGUGGUGCAGAAGGCAUCGGGGUGCCAAUCCUGGAUGUGAGUAUGAGGAAAGGGGAGGGACGUACAUAGGGUUGUGGGAUUUAGCGAAUAAACACACAGGAUGCUCAGGUAAACUUAGAUUUCAGAUAGUGUUUUUGCACCCCCACCCCCACCCCCGGGAAUGUUUAGGACAUACUUACACCAAGUUAUUUGUUGUCUAUCUGAAGUUAAAAUUCAACAUAGGUCAUAGGUGACUCCCAUGUCAGGACUUGACCCGUUGUGGGUCAGGAGGGUUUUGAGUACCUUUGGACCCACAGGCUGUGAAAUGUCUGGUGGAUCAGGUAGGGGAAGAGCUGAGGACUUCAGGAGCGGUGGAGGUGGAGAGUGAAGGCUUCGGACUGAGCGCCACCAGGCUGUACCUGCAUGUACAACCAGGUGAGGGUGGAGUCAGCCAAGGGGUGGAGAAGGCGCUGCCAGUGAGGAACGGGGAGACCUGCUGAUAGAACCCGGUGAGAAGUGGGCGUCCUGAGGGCCCCUAAGAGUAGGAAGCCAGAAGCUGGAGGGACAGGAGGACAGAGGGGACACCCUGGUGAGCUCAGAUGGUAGAUAGGCCAUUAUGAGCCACUGUGCACCCUUUAACUACGCUGUCCAGGUGUGAGACUGCCUGUCCUGACCUGAGUUCUUACCUUAAUUGAGAAAGAAGUGAAGUGUGGUAAGGUGAUGGGUGCCAAAUACUUCCCUUUUCACUGGAAAAGCUGCAGGUAGUGCAUGGCCUUUGCCCUUGGAAAGUGGGCUUUCUGAGACGACUCCCUGGGGUCAUACUUCCCGCCCGUAAAGCUCCUGGUGCAAAGGAGCCCCAGAAAAGAAGGGCUGGUUGUGCUCACCCAUUUUCUUGCAAAAGUCACCUACCAGGUAAGGCAACAGUGCAGAGAGAACGGGAGGGUUAGGGCUGACGGCACUUCCUUCAUGUGGAGGAAAGCUGCCGUGGUGAAUAUGCCUACCCCCAGCCCUAACGUGACGGCAGUGGGUUGCACUCACCGUGUGUCUCAUGUGCCAGGCAAAUGCAUCGACCCAUUUAGUGCCCACAGCAUUGCGGGGUAAUGCGCAGUUGCUUUUUCACAGUUGAAAAUACAGGCAUGUAGGAGUGUGCAGUCUGCCCCUAGCCUUGUAGGAAGUGAUACAGGCAGUCGGACUCUUGAGUCCAAACUCCUGAACACCUGAGUUAAGGAACUAGAGGUGAGAAAGAAGAGGGUAGAUGUAGUCGGCUCUUAGGAAGUUUUAUGGGGGGGAAGAGGAGCUGAGAAAUACCAGGAUGGUCAAGGAAUUUUAAAGUAAGCAAGAGAUGGUCAGUUUAUGGGAGAUGUGGAGUCUCUUCUUACCCAUUUCUGUGCCAUGUCAUAUGUCAUAGUGGUAAUGACUUCUUUUGAACUGUGUCCCCCUUAAGUAAGUAGCUGGGCUCAGAAAAUAUGCCUUUGUGACCCCUCUUCCCCAAUCCAAAUUUAUUCAAGGUGGUUGUUGGUUUGUUUGUGGGGAGAGGUAAUUAGAUUUACUGAUUUAUUAUUGAAAGAGGUACUGGGAAUUGAACCCCGGAGCUCCUGUAUGCUAAGCAUGAGCUCUGCCACUUGAGCUAUACCCUCCCCCCAGGUUGUAGAUGGUCCCCGACUUACAAGUUUGACUUGCUGAUUUUUUGGCUUUAAAGUGGUGCGAGAGCAACACACGUUCAGCAGAAACAGUACUUUGAAUUUUGCAUCUUGAUCUUCUGGGCUAGUGAUUGGAGGCUUUGCAGUGGGUACCCCGCAGCUAGCUCCCAGUCAGCCACGCAGCCUUGAAGGCGAACAGCAAUGCACUUAACGGCUAUUCUGUAUCCACACAACCGUUCUGUGUUGCACUUUAUCAGUAGAGUAUUCAAUUAGCCACAUGAGGUACUCAGCACUUCACUAUAAAGUAGGCUUUAUGUUAGAUGUGUUUGCCCAGCUGUAGGCUAAUGUAAGUGUUCCGAGCACAUUUAAGCUUGGUUAAGUGUAUUAAGUGCAUUUUUGAUUUAGGACAUUUUCAACUUAAUGAUGGGUUUAUCGAUUCGUAACCCCAUUGUAAGUCUAGGAAGAUCUGUACUUUGUUAGUACCACGGUUAGGAGGUCAGUGUCUGUAUCCACAGCCCAGGCAUGUUUAUGACCUGUAAAAUGAGAAAAUCUCAGCGUGCUUAGCAUGAUGCCAGGUCAAUGGAUGAUAGCUACAGUGAUCCAUGCUGCAGUUUCCUGAAGCUUCAGGAUGCAGCGACAUUCACGUAAGGAAGCCUCCUCCCAUCUUGUGCUAGACAAGGAGACUCUUCAUGAAGAUCUCACUGAGGGUUGGUUUUCCCUCUUUAGGAAUCAUUUCGGUCUUUACUCCGCCUUGAUGGGCUUCUCAGGCUGUCAUGGUCCUGCUCUGUCGGCAGAGGGCAGCAACCACCAGAAAGCGGGCCAGGCGCGGUCUGGGUCUUCAUCCCUGCACGCAAUUACAAUGUUAGUUUCGCAGGACUAUGAGGUUCGCCUCCUGGACCCUUGACAGGGGGCCUGGGGACAUGGUGGGGUGGGGGUUGGGAUCCGUACCCCAGAGUUGAACCCUGUCUGGCCCCACAGGGGCCUCUUGUAUCUCUGCAUAUCCUUGGAAAAGUCAGCUGUCUGAAAACUGGGCCAGGUCUUCUGGGGUGGCCGUCAUUUGAGACAAGAUAUUCCGUGCCUGUUAACUUGCCCUGUCUCCUCAGAGCUCACUCACCUCCUGUGUCGUCCUCCCUAAUGUCCCGUCCGUUGCCCUUCCUCAGCCCUCUUCCAUAUUCCCCUUUUGGGAAAUCCCUUAGUCUUCUCCCUACCAUCAUUCCGGACCAUAGCCUGAACUGAGGGGAACAGGGGACCACGUUUCACUGGCUUGCAAAAGGAUGUGCAUAGUUUAUUAAGAAAUAUUUACCAGGAUCUUCCAGAGUGCAAAACACUGGUGCACUGUGGUAGGGCUGAUUUAGAAAGUAUAAUACUGUGGGUGGGAUAUCCAGAUAAGGAACCUGGGGGUCCACACAGGUAAUUGGUGACUUGGAGCAGUGAAAAACAGAUAACUACUGAGGGCUGUAGUCAAGGAGGGCUCUGGGAGGUUAGGCAAGAAAGCAAGGGCAUCGGAAAUGGGGACCACUCUGAAGCUCUGAACCAGCCCCUGGCUGUAGGCUAGAGAGGAGGUAACAGGCAGCCCCUCACCCCCACCCUCUCCUCCCAGUCCUCCUAUCCCAUGCCUCACUCUUCUGAAAUCUGUCCUGAGCUCUUCCAGCCAGGGCUUGUGUCUGCCCCAUCUUGGUGUUCUCGGGGACUGUCACAAAGCACUCUCCAUCAGACAUUUGCCCACAGAUGUGCUUAUGCUCUUGGCACAAGUUUUCACACUUAACCUGUUAGAUUUCUGCCUGUGACUUGAUGCCCAGCUCAUGUGGACAUUUGACCAAAGGCCUUCCUGGUUCUGUUACAGAAACCUGAAUCCCGUCGAGAGACCAAGCGACACUCAGAGGGUUGGAGAACUCAGGUUUAUUUACGCCGGCGGGCCCAGAGGCGUUAAUACUCUCGGCUCUGGACCCCGACUGCAAGAUAGAGGAACAUUGUGAUCUAGGAUAGAAUGGCGAUUGGGGCCGUGGAGUUUGGCAAGAGGAGACACUCCUUCCACAACUGCGGCUUCAUCUCACAGGCCUUCUGCGCCGCCCUCUUCCUUUUCCUCUGCUUGUGACUUCUGUGAUAACAGGCAGAAGGGCAGGGGCUUCUCCUCGUCCACCAGGAGGGGAUUUCAGCCACGCCUUCUUCAGAGGCACAACCAGAGAGAAUGUGACGGACAAAAAGGCAGAAUCUGAAAGAGAGGCAAGUUGACCUGGAAUCACAAAUGGAAAAUGUGUCAUAAGAGAAAACAUCACGAGAAUUGGAGAAGAUGAAAGGAGUUGAGUGGAAGAGAAGGAGAGAGACGUGGAGGUACACAGGUGCACUCAGCUGGAGGGAGGGACCUCAGAGAUAAGAAGGGGAAAACACGCCAGCUGACAGAACUUGUAGCAGAGACGGUGCGCAGAGGUGCCUGGACAUUAAUUGAGUCCAGUUCAGAUUUAUAGCCCUCCCUUAUCUUGACCUGUCUUAAGGUGCCUAGGGGUGGGGCCAUUCCUGGAGCUGCCUACAUUCUGCGGCUGCCUGCUGGAUGGAGAUUUAUGGCUCUGGUGUCAGAGAAAUCAGUGGUAAAUCUUGUCUCAGGCUGGCCCCACCCUCCUUUGGCUCCAACAGUGUUCGAUAUCCAAUUAACAGGAAGCUGGAUUCUAUGAGCUGUUAAGAAACAAAAUUCAACUGAGUAAAUUUUAAAGACCUUACCGGCUUUAUUCAGUGAUUCAUGAAUUGGUCAGUAUCCCAUCCAGCAGAUGGAAAAGAGCUCCAAGUCACUGUGCAGAAUGAAGGACUUUUAUAACCAGAAGGGAGAGGAACAAUGAAGUUAUACUAGCAAAAAUUGGAUUGGUUGUCACAAGGUCAUCUUCCUUUAGAGGACUGUAGAGGUGUAUCUUGGAAGUAGCUGUCCUAUUACCAGGUAGAAGAGGACCAAGGGGGCGGGUGUGCCUUCAGAUGUGUCCAAGGACCUCUUGGCAGCUCUGUACCAUUAAUUCCACGACGAUUUGUGUGCCUGGAACCCAACCAAAGCUGAGCAAGCCAUAUUCUCUAAUCAAAACAGUAUUAUCUUCUUGAGGACUUGUGCGUUUUGAGAAUUCUAUGCUUUGUGAGAUGUGUUCUUUCACAGUUUUGGGCAUGAAAAUCUUCCAGUGAAAUGAGAACAGAAGAAAUAUUUGCUUGUCACCCAUCCUUUGUCUUAAACAUGGCUCAAUAAGGAGGUAUCACUCAGAGACGCUGGCUCAGAGAGGAUUUUUCUAGAACCUUGGUUCCUAAAGUAUAUUCUCCAGACCAGCAACAAAAAAAACAUCACCUGAAGCUUGUUAGAAAUGAACAUUCUCAGGCCCCAGCUCCCCAGAGGUACUGGAUCAGAAGUUCUGGGGUGGCACCCAGGAUCUGUUUAAUAGGCCCUGCAGGUGAUUCUGGUGCCCACUGGGGUUUGUGAAUUGGCUGGCAUAGGGGAUGCAACAAAUUGCACGCAGGGCUCCUAAAACUUGUCACUUCUUUCUCUUUUUAUCUGCCAAGCAAGGUCACUUGGCCUAAUUUCAGAGGAGUGGCAAGUGUUAAAGUAGAUUGUGUUAAAUGACAAAAAAAUUCAACCAAGUACAUUUUCAAGAUCUAAUUGGCUUUACUGAAUGAUUGAUGAAUUGGGCGGCAUCUCUUCUAGCAAGUAGAGAGGAGCUCCAAGGAGCUGUACAAACUGGAAGGCUUUUGUGGGCAGACAAGGGAAGGCAUAAGGGAAGAGCAGAUUGCCUCAUCUUCCUUUUGGAGAUGGAAAGGGUCUGUGUGUGCUGACCAGAAAAUUCCAAGCUGGCUGGUUCAGACUACGUUUGUGGGGAAGAUUGGCAGUGCAAUUAGGUGAGGCAUUAAGCCAUGGUUUGGCAGUGUGGGCUUAGCACAAGUGACUCCAUUUUUGAAGGCCUCUGUCUUUUGAACAAUAAAAAAAAAAAAAAAAAACAGUGGCCAUGAACAUUAUCAGGGGAGGUGGCAGAAGCUUGGGUUUGUGCUUUCUGUUUUCAGACCACGUCUGAAAAAUAGUGCCUUUGCAACGUAAGCACAGUGCCAUUGUAAUUUCUUGGUUUUAUCUAUUAGGCCAAAUUAGCAUUUUCCCAAUUGCCUCACAAAGGCCCCCUUUACACUGGGUGGUCUUCAGGCUCCAGCCAAGCUCUAUACAUUGCACUAGGGACGUUUAGUGGCUUUAGUCUGAUCUGUGCCUCUGCGGUGGUCAUUUCCACAAAUCACAUGGGGACAUUAUUAACACCCUAUGGAAUAAGAUUCAUAUUUUAAUGGCAAGAGAAGAAAAAUUUAGACAUAAAAUUUUUCUGCCCUUUGACCGCCUCUCUCUCCUCUACUGUGCAUUGUGUAUCUAUAUGGAUUAUGCAUUGACCAAACCUCCCCCAUCAGCAGAAAUGCCUGCUCAGUCCUAAGAGCAACAUUAUCCUAACAUCUACAAGACAACUCCUUAAAAGAGAGCCAUCCUUCUAGAUUUUGCAAGGAGGGGGUCACACGACCCCCCCCCCCCCACUUUCUACUUGCCGAUCUGGAUUGUGUAAACUGUCGAUAAUACAUCAUUUGAUGUACAUCCUUCUAUCCCUAAAAACUGUGCUUUGACUUUUGAUGGGCAGAACUUUUUUUUUUUUUUUUUUUCUUUGAGAUGCUGUUCCUGGGUUAUAAUCCUCAACUUGGCUCAAAUAAAAUUUUCCAUUUCUUUCUAA
This is an RNA transcript of Camelus dromedarius (Arabian camel), 9701 nucleotides long. It is a transcript of the gene named SH3 binding domain protein 5 like, with no coding region annotated. NCBI's taxonomy places the organism in Eukaryota, Metazoa, Chordata, Mammalia, Artiodactyla, Camelidae. The transcript has 9 exons. The record is from RefSeq and is a predicted model, not a curated record.